RNAcentral lists this long non-coding RNA (341 nucleotides) under Ananas comosus (pineapple). RNAcentral describes it as "long non-coding RNA (ACOM_LNC035385)". Lineage: Eukaryota; Viridiplantae; Streptophyta; Magnoliopsida; Poales; Bromeliaceae. The record is from RNAcentral.
GUAUUUGAAGUUUCUAGAAAAUAUUUUUUGCGAUUUUUUGAUAUCAUUUACCUAGCAAUCGAAAGGAUUCAAAAUCAAUAAUUUUUAACGGCUGAAAAUAAAAAUCCUAUAAAAGUGGUGAUAUAGCAUUCAAAUUUUCGAUCAGAAAUAUUGAUCUUGUUGUAGAUAGUAUAAAGAAUUUUGUAUCAAAAUUUCAUCUGAUUUUAAUACUUCUACACCGUUAAACUUGAAAACGGCAGAUAUCAACCAUUAAAAAUUAUUGAUUUUGAAUCCUUUCUAUCACUAGGUAAAUAAUAUCAAAAAAUUGCAAAAAUUAUUUUUUAGAAACUUCAUAUACCCUA